GUUAGUGGCGGACGGGUGAGUAACGCGUGAGAAUCUGCCCUCAGGAGGGGGAUAACAGAGGGGCUGACUGAAUAAUACCCCAUAUGCCGAGAGGUGAAAGCGAAAUUUUGCCUGGGGAUGAGCUCGCGUCUGAUUAGCUUGUUGGUGGGGUAAAAGCCUACCAAGGCUUCGAUCAGUAGCUGGUCUGAGAGGACGAUCAGCCACACUGGGACUGAUAUACGGCCCAGACUCCUACGGG
This 238-nucleotide ribosomal RNA is filed under the name uncultured bacterium. Its description in RNAcentral is "partial 16S ribosomal RNA". It matches the Rfam family "Bacterial small subunit ribosomal RNA", at positions 91 to 345 of the family's 1533-position model. The record is from RNAcentral.